GAGUGGCGAACGGGCGAGGAAUGCGUUUCUAACGUGCCCCAAGGUCGAGGAUAGCUCGGGGAAACCCGGGGUAAUACUCGAUGACCCCCAUGGAUCGCAUGGUUCGUGGGGCAAAGGCUUGCUGCCUUGGGAUCGGGAAACGCCCUAUCAGGUUGUUGGUGAGGUAACGGCUCACCAAGCCUAAGACGGGUAGCGGGUGUGAGAGCAUGACCCGCCGCAUCGGGACUGAGACACUGCCCGGACUCCUACGGGAGGCUGCAGCAACGGAUAUUGGGCAAUGAGCGAAAGCUUGACCCAGCAAUGCCGCGUGCAGGAGGAAGCCCCUCGGGGUGUAAACUGCUGUCAGGGUUUAGGAAGUUCUGACCAAACCCAAAGGAAGGGCCGGCUAACUUCGUGCCAGCAGCCGCGGUAAUACGAAGGGCCCAAGCGUUAAUCGGAAUCACUGGGCUUAAAGGGUGCGCAGGCGGAAUGGUCAGUGUCUUGUGAAAUCCCACGGCUCAACCGUGGAACUGCAGGGCAUACUGCCAUUCUUGAGGCCGGUAGAGGCCGCCGGAACUCUAGGUGUAGCGGUGAAAUGCGUAGAUAUCUAGAGGAACGCCAAAGACGAAGGUAGGCGGCUGGGCCGGGUUCUGACGCUCAGGCACGAAAGCGUGGGGAGCAAACAGGAUUAGAUACCCUGGUAGUCCACGCCGUAAACGUUGUGCACUAGGUGCUGGAGGUUCUGACACCAUCAGCGCCGAAGCGAAAGUGAUUAGUGCACCGCCUGGGGAGUACGGUCGCAAGGCUAAAACUCAAAGGAAUUGACGGGGGCUCACACAAGCGGUGGAGCAUGUGGCUUAAUUCGAGGCAACGCGAAGAACCUUAUCCUGGGCUUGACAUGCAUGGAUUAACGCUGGGAAACCAGCGCCACACUCUUUGAGUGGAACAUGCACAGGUGCUGCAUGGCUGUCGUCAGCUCGUGCUGUGAAGUGUUGGGUUAAGUCCCUUAACGAGCGAAACCCCUGUCGCUAGUUACCAUCAGGUAAUGCUGGGGACUCUAGCGAGACUGCCGGUGUCAAACCGGAGGAAGGCGGGGAUGACGUCAAGUCCUCAUGGCCUUUAUGCCCAGGGCUGCACACGUGCUACAAUGGCGCCGACAGAGCGAAGCAAAACCGCGAGGUAGAGCAAAUCGCAAAAAAGGUGCCCCAGUUCGGAUUGCAGUCUGCAACUCGACUGCAUGAAGCCGGAAUCGCUAGUAAUCGCGUAUCAGCAACGACGCGGUGAAUACGUUCCUGAGCCUUGUACACACCGCCCGUCAAGUCAUGGAAGCCGGGAGUACCCGAAG
RNAcentral lists this ribosomal RNA (1324 nucleotides) under uncultured organism. Its description in RNAcentral is "16S ribosomal RNA". It matches the Rfam family "Bacterial small subunit ribosomal RNA", at positions 93 to 1426 of the family's 1533-position model. The record is from RNAcentral.